Molecule: small nuclear RNA, 163 nt
Organism: Oryctolagus cuniculus (rabbit)
Lineage: Eukaryota; Metazoa; Chordata; Mammalia; Lagomorpha; Leporidae
Gene: U1
Rfam family: U1 spliceosomal RNA
About the family: U1 is a small nuclear RNA (snRNA) component of the spliceosome (involved in pre-mRNA splicing). Its 5' end forms complementary base pairs with the 5' splice junction, thus defining the 5' donor site of an intron.
Source: Ensembl
AUGCUUACCUGGCAGGGGAGAUACCAUGAUCAUGAAGGUGGUUUUCCCAGGGUGACCCUCAUCCAUUGCACCCCGGAUGGGCUGGCCCCCGCGAUUUCCCUAAAUGCAGGAAACUCGACUGGCAUCAUUUGUGGUAGUAGGGACUGCGUUUGCACUCUCCCCU